GGCGGAGUGAUGGAAUCGGUAGACAUAGCGGACUUAAAAUCCGCUGAGGGGUAACCCUCGUGUGGGUUCGAGUCCCACCUCCGCUACCA
Molecule: transfer RNA, 89 nt
Filed under: Bryobacterales bacterium
Lineage: Bacteria; Pseudomonadati; Acidobacteriota; Terriglobia; Bryobacterales
Description: tRNA-Leu
Rfam family: tRNA
About the family: Transfer RNA (tRNA) molecules are approximately 80 nucleotides in length. Their secondary structure includes four short double-helical elements and three loops (D, anti-codon, and T loops).
Source: RNAcentral